GUUUGAUCCUGGCUCAGAUUGAACGCUGGCGGCAGGCCUAACACAUGCAAGUCGAGCGGUAGCACAGAGAGCUUGCUCUCGGGUGACGAGCGGCGGACGGGUGAGUAAUGUCUGGGAAACUGCCUGAUGGAGGGGGAUAACUACUGGAAACGGUAGCUAAUACCGCAUAACGUCGCAAGACCAAAGUGGGGGACCUUCGGGCCUCAUGCCAUCAGAUGUGCCCAGAUGGGAUUAGCUGGUAGGUGGGGUAACGGCUCACCUAGGGGACGAUCCCUAGCUGGUCUGAGAGGAUGACCAGCCACACUGGAACUGAGACACGGUCCAGACUCCUACGGGAGGCAGCAGUGGGGAAUAUUGCACAAUGGGCGCAAGCCUGAUGCAGCCAUGCCGCGUGUGUGAAGAAGGCCUUCGGGUUGUAAAGCACUUUCAGCGGGGAGGAAGGCGGUGAGGUUAAUAACCUCAUCGAUUGACGUUACCCGCAGAAGAAGCACCGGCUAACUCCGUGCCAGCAGCCGCGGUAAUACGGAGGGUGCAAGCGUUAAUCGGAAUUACUGGGCGUAAACGCACGCAGGCGGUCUGUCAAGUCGGAUGUGAAAUCCCCGGGCUCAACCUGGGAACUGCAUUCAAAACUGGCACGCUAGAGUCUUGUAGAGGGGGGUAGAAUUCCAAGUGUAGCGGUGAAAUGCGUAGAGAUCUGGAGGAAUACCGGUGGCGAAGGCGGCCCCCUGGACAAAGACUGACGCUCAGGUGCGAAAGCGUGGGGAGCAAACAGGAUUAGAUACCCUGGUAGUCCACGCUGUAAACGAUGUCGAUUUGGAGGUUGUGCCCUUGAGGCGUGGCUUCCGGAGCUAACGCGUUAAAUCGACCGCCUGGGGAGUACGGCCGCAAGGUUAAAACUCAAAUGAAUUGACGGGGGCCCGCACAAGCGGUGGAGCAUGUGGUUUAAUUCGAUGCAACGCGAAGAACCUUACCUGGUCUUGACAUCCACAGAACUUAGCAGAGAUGCUUUGGUGCCUUCGGGAACUGUGAGACAGGUGCUGCAUGGCUGUCGUCAGCUCGUGUUGUGAAAUGUUGGGUUAAGUCCCGCAACGAGCGCAACCCUUAUCCUUUGUUGCCAGCGGUUCGGCCGGGAACUCAAAGGAGACUGCCAGUGAUAAACUGGAGGAAGGUGGGGAUGACGUCAAGUCAUCAUGGCCCUUACGACCAGGGCUACACACGUGCUACAAUGGCAUAUACAAAGAGAAGCGACCUCGCGAGAGCAAGCGGACCUCAUAAAGUAUGUCGUAGUCCGGAUUGGAGUCUGCAACUCGACUCCAUGAAGUCGGAAUCGCUAGUAAUCGUAGAUCAGAAUGCUACGGUGAAUACGUUCCCGGGCCUUGUACACACCGCCCGUCACACCAUGGGAGUGGGUUGCAAAAGAAGUAGGUAGCUUAACCUUCGGGAGGGCGCUUACCACUUUGUGAUUCAUGACUGGGGUGAAGUCGUAACAAGGUAGCC
RNAcentral lists this ribosomal RNA (1497 nucleotides) under Klebsiella pneumoniae. RNAcentral's name for it is "bacterial SSU rRNA". It matches the Rfam family "Bacterial small subunit ribosomal RNA". Lineage: Bacteria; Pseudomonadati; Pseudomonadota; Gammaproteobacteria; Enterobacterales; Enterobacteriaceae. The record is from RNAcentral.